GACGAACGCUGGCGGCGUGCCUAAUACAUGCAAGUAGAACGCUGAAGGAGGAGCUUGCUUCUCCGGAUGAGUUGCGAACGGGUGAGUAACGCGUAGGUAACCUGCCUGGUAGCGGGGGAUAACUAUUGGAAACGAUAGCUAAUACCGCAUAACAGUAGAUGUUGCAUGACAUUUGCUUAAAAGGUGCAAUUGCAUCACUACCAGAUGGACCUGCGUUGUAUUAGCUAGUUGGUGAGGUAACGGCUCACCAAGGCGACGAUACAUAGCCGACCUGAGAGGGUGAUCGGCCACACUGGGACUGAGACACGGCCCAGACUCCUACGGGAGGCAGCAGUAGGGAAUCUUCGGCAAUGGACGGAAGUCUGACCGAGCAACGCCGCGUGAGUGAAGAAGGUUUUCGGAUCGUAAAGCUCUGUUGUAAGAGAAGAACGAGUGUGAGAGUGGAAAGUUCACUGUGACGGUAUCUUACCAGAAAGGGACGGCUAACUACGUG
This 493-nucleotide ribosomal RNA is filed under the name uncultured bacterium. RNAcentral describes it as "partial 16S ribosomal RNA". It matches the Rfam family "Bacterial small subunit ribosomal RNA", at positions 28 to 507 of the family's 1533-position model. The record is from RNAcentral.